AAAAUAUUGCAUUUUAUUUUUAGCUGCCGUUGCGUAGUUCCAGAGACUGGUGAUACAGUACCCGGCACAAUCAAACGUGGUUUAGACACAGUCGACAUGGACUGUGACCCUGGCCCACCCGUGGCAGGAGGACGCGGCAGAGGAAACAGCGAGCGGGGAAGAGGUGUAUGUGAAACUCACCCCAUUCGUUGCAAAAUGUCCUGUUCAACUGGGUUUAAAGUGGAAAAUGGGUGCGAAAUAUGCCAGUGCAACUAGACAUGGGAAGGUAGAAUUGUUUGAAAAACUCUUUAUUUUCGGUGCUUCAGAACAGAACAGUGGUACAUGGUAUAAUUUGUAUAGUUGUCAUAACUGUAUUCACUC
Molecule: long non-coding RNA, 360 nt
Organism: Saccoglossus kowalevskii
Lineage: Eukaryota; Metazoa; Hemichordata; Enteropneusta; Harrimaniidae
Source: RefSeq, a predicted model, not a curated record